RNAcentral lists this ribosomal RNA (402 nucleotides) under uncultured bacterium. RNAcentral describes it as "bacterial SSU rRNA". It matches the Rfam family "Bacterial small subunit ribosomal RNA", at positions 44 to 492 of the family's 1533-position model. The record is from RNAcentral.
ACGCCUAAACAUGCAAGUCGAACGAAGUAGCAAUACUUAGUGGCAGACGGGUGAGUAACAUGUGGGUAUCUGCCCUUUGGCCUGGAAUAACACGAGGAAACUUGUGCUAAUACUGGAUAAGUCUUUACGGAGAAAGCUUUAUGCACCAUUGGAUGAGCCCGCACUUGAUUAGUUUGUUGGUGGGGUAAUGGCCUACCAAGACUGUGAUCAAUAGCUGAUUUGAGAGGAUGAUCAGCCACAUUGGGACUGAGACACGGCCCAAACUCCUACGGGAGGCAGCAGUGGGGAAUCUUGCACAAUGGAGGAAACUCUGAUGCAGCGAUGCCGCGUGAGUGAAGAAGGCCCUUGGGUUGUAAAGCUCUUUCGUCGGGGAAGAAAAUGACUGUACCCGAAUAAGAAGGU